UAGUGAAUCUUCCGCAAUGGACGAAAGUCUGACGGAGCAACGCCGCGCGAGUGAAGAAGGAUUUCGGUUCGUAAAACUCUGUUGUUAGGGAAGAAAAAAUGUAUAGUAACUAUAUACAAAAGAGACGGUACCUAACCAGAAAGCCACGGCUAACUACGUGCCAGCAGCCGCGGUAAUACGUAGGUGGCAAGCGUUGUCCGGAAUUAUUGGGCGUAAUGCGCGCGCAGGUGGUUUAGAAAGUCUGAUGUGAAAGCCCACGGCUCAACCGUGGAGGGUCAUUGAAAACUAAUAAACUUGAGUGCAGGAGAGAAAGGUGGAAUUCCUAGUGUAGCGGUGAGAUGCGUAGAGAUUAGGAGGAACAACGGUGGCGAAAGCGGCUUUUUGGCCUGCAACUGACACUGAGGCACGAAAGAGAGGGGAGCAAACAGG
This 429-nucleotide ribosomal RNA is filed under the name Verrucomicrobiota bacterium. RNAcentral describes it as "Verrucomicrobia bacterium partial 16S ribosomal RNA". It matches the Rfam family "Bacterial small subunit ribosomal RNA", at positions 355 to 776 of the family's 1533-position model. The record is from RNAcentral. Lineage: Bacteria; Pseudomonadati; Verrucomicrobiota.